RNAcentral lists this transfer RNA (791 nucleotides) under Bradyrhizobium genosp. TUXTLAS-21. RNAcentral describes it as "partial 16S-23S ribosomal RNA intergenic spacer". The stretch from base 200 to 273 matches the Rfam family "tRNA". The record is from RNAcentral. Lineage: Bacteria; Pseudomonadati; Pseudomonadota; Alphaproteobacteria; Hyphomicrobiales; Nitrobacteraceae.
CUUCAGCGAGCUCACGCUCACUAUCGGAUCGUUUUAGAAACAUUCAGGGGCCAACAGUUUCAGGAUUGUUGAGCUCCAUUGGCGGGAUUUCGCCGUCUUCGUUUCUCUUUCUUCGCGGACGAACACGCGCCAGGGGCUGAGCGCUGUGCGAUGCACCGACUUCGAAGUCGGGUGCGCGCCGGCAUGUCUCUCGUGUUAGGGGCUUGUAGCUCAGUUGGUUAGAGCGCGCGCUUGAUAAGCGUGAGGUCGGAAGUUCAAGUCUUCCCAGGCCCACCAUUUUGAUCGAGUGCGGAGCAUUCGUCUUCUGGUACGGGGCCAUAGCUCAGCUGGGAGAGCGCGUGCUUUGCAAGCAUGAGGUCGUCGGUUCGAUCCCGUCUGGCUCCACCAGAUGGAAUUGAAGCUCGAGAAUGCCUCGAUCAUUUCGUCCGCGAAACAUCACUUCGCACUCAUUGGUCCGGAUGGACGGUGACGUGCGUGUUUUCUGACAUCGUAAAGAGGAGAUCGAUCCGAGUUUGGAUCCAGCGAAGCAAUUCGCGGGUACCAUUCCUAAUCUCCAGAUCGUUUUCGGCGCUCGUUCAUCGCAGCUCAUCGCAAGAUGAGUGAGGUGAGCGAGUUGUAAAACGAUCUUUGUAGCGAAGCUUGACCGCCUCGCUAUCGGGCCGAUCUUACGAAGCAAGCUGGUCUUUCUAGUCAAUGUCCGGCUGUGCAAUCGCAUCUUCGAGGGUGCGCGCCUUAAGUGGCAGUUGUGCAGACAACAUUCUGCCGAGUGUGUGGACAUUGAUAAUGAGAGC